GGCCCUGCCACCACCUCAUUGUGCCAUUCCACCCAGGAAGGAAUGACCCACUGCCAGGGUCAAACUACCAACUCCUAGUUGGCUCUACACCUUGGCUUUGCUCAGCACAGAAUAGCAGAUGACAGCCAAGUGACUGACCUUACUGAGGACAACCUCUGCCCUGGAGAAGAGUUUCACUUCAGGACAGAAGUGUUACCUGGGCCUGGAGCCAAGUCCCUACUGUGCCUUCCACCUACCCUCAGCUCACUGCCCAGCUCGCACAGCACCCUGGAUGAGCAUCCCUCAUGGCCACUCUGAGAACAACCUCUUGGUGACUACAGGACAGGGUGAAGCACAAUGGCCGGAGAGGCCCUGGAGUAUUUCAUCAGUUCAUUCAACAACUCUUUACUGGCCUCCUUCAUCAGGGUCUAUACCUGGCAGCCAAAGACGAUUUCCCCCAGAGGAAAAGAAGAAAUUAGAGCUGCUCCUCAUCUUUGCCUGUCAGCUCCCCUGUGACACCCAGCUCCCCAGCUGGCCUCGACCCGUCCUUUCUUUCCAUACUGCUCAGGCCUCAUCCACUUUUCCCUGCUCACCACCAAGACUCUGCCCAGCCUCCGCCUCUCCUGGGUCAUCCCCACACUGUGGCCCUCCUGAAAACCCAAAGCUGACGACAGCAUCGCCACCCAGCAGCAUCAGGGAACCAGGCAAGGCUGUGGUCAGCAGGGGGGCAUCACUGGGUCUCCAGCUGCUUCCAGACUCUCCCAGUUCCACAGGUGGGCAUUGCUUACCAGGCCCAAUUAAGAAAUGGAAACAGCUGUGGAUUUAGUUGUCACCUGAUUUAGCUACAUUAACUCGGAUCCAUCCUCCUUCCAUGCGACAUUUUGAUUUAUGCAAUACAGAAGUCACAGGCUGGGACCAUGGCACACUAGUGGCAACUCGGAGCCUUGCUCUUGCAAUGGAAAUGAAAGUGUUCUGUAAACUGGAAGGUGCAACAUGAAAUAAAGUAUUAUACAACCGACC
Fukomys damarensis (Damara mole-rat) is the source of this 999-nucleotide long non-coding RNA. NCBI's taxonomy places the organism in Eukaryota, Metazoa, Chordata, Mammalia, Rodentia, Bathyergidae. The record is from Ensembl.